RNAcentral lists this ribosomal RNA (305 nucleotides) under uncultured bacterium. RNAcentral's name for it is "bacterial SSU rRNA". It matches the Rfam family "Bacterial small subunit ribosomal RNA", at positions 338 to 660 of the family's 1533-position model. The record is from RNAcentral.
CCUACGGGACGCAGCAGUGGGGGAUAUUGCACAAUGGGGGGAACCCUGAUGCAGCGACGCCGCGUGGGUGAAGAAGCGCCUCGGCGCGUAAAGCCCUGUCAGCAGGGAAGAAAAUGACGGUACCUGAAGAAGAAGCCCCGGCUAACUACGUGCCAGCAGCCGCGGUAAUACGUAGGGGGCAAGCGUUAUCCGGAUUUACUGGGUGUAAAGGGAGCGUAGACGGUUCUGCAAGUCUGAAGUGAAAGCCCGUGGCUUAACCGCGGAACGGCUUUGUAAAAUGUGGAACGGGAGUGCUGGAGAGGCAA